UCUAAUAUGGCAGAUUAGUGCAAUGGAUUUAAACCCCAAAUAUAAAGUUUGACCUUUUUUUAGAA
This 65-nucleotide transfer RNA is filed under the name Brundinia marina. Its description in RNAcentral is "tRNA-Leu". It matches the Rfam family "tRNA". From Rfam's summary of the family: Transfer RNA (tRNA) molecules are approximately 80 nucleotides in length. Their secondary structure includes four short double-helical elements and three loops (D, anti-codon, and T loops). Lineage: Eukaryota; Metazoa; Arthropoda; Insecta; Coleoptera; Staphylinidae. The record is from RNAcentral.